This 652-nucleotide non-coding RNA is filed under the name Paxillus rubicundulus Ve08.2h10. RNAcentral describes it as "Bacterial large subunit ribosomal RNA". It matches the Rfam family "Bacterial large subunit ribosomal RNA", at positions 639 to 1248 of the family's 2925-position model. The record is from Rfam by way of RNAcentral. Lineage: Eukaryota; Fungi; Basidiomycota; Agaricomycetes; Boletales; Paxillaceae.
AGCAAGGUUAAAAGCCUAAGCGAAAGCAACUAGGUCAUUUUAAUAAGUGAAAUGGGUUAAGUUACUUCUAUUAGACCCGAAGCCAGGUGAUCUUUUCAAGAUCAGAUUAUAAUAGAUCAAACAGUUGAAUGUUGCAUAAUUCUCCGAAGAGUUUUGGAAAGCGGUGAAAUGCCAAUCUGACCUAGUGAUAGCUGGUUUUCUAUGAAAUAUAUUUUAGUAUGACAUCUAUUCAAUAUUUAUGGAGGUACAGUACGGUGAUUCCAUAUAAAUAUUAAAUUUAUUUUUAAUAGAAGUUUAAGUUGCGGGACUUUGAAAAUCUUACCCUUGGAAAUAAAUCUCGGAAUUACAUACAUAGAUGACAGAUAUUUAGACUAUUCAUGAUAAGUUGGAUAGUCAAGACGAAAACAGCCAUGAACACAGAUUAAGGUCUCAAAUGAUUAUUAAAUAAAAUAAAGGAAGUGACAAAUCGAAUACAGUUGAAAAGUGAGCCUGGUAGUUACUACUUAUAAUGAACAUGUAUCAACGUAUCAGCCCUUAAAUUAUUGCCCCGAAGAUUUAACAGGUCUAAAAUAAUCAACCGAUAUCAUAUUAAUUUUGAAGAUAGAUUCUUAUAUUUAUAUUUAAAAUUUAGGUAGUAGAACAUUCGGAUAAU